Molecule: ribosomal RNA, 579 nt
Filed under: uncultured bacterium
Lineage: Bacteria
Description: partial 16S ribosomal RNA
Rfam family: Bacterial small subunit ribosomal RNA
Source: RNAcentral
UGGGGAAUUUUGGACAAUGGGCGCAAGCCUGAUCCAGCCAUGCCGCGUGCGGGAAGAAGGCCUUCGGGUUGUAAACCGCUUUUGUCAGGGAAGAAAUCUUCUGAGUUAAUACCUCGGGAGGAUGACGGUACCUGAAGAAUAAGCACCGGCUAACUACGUGCCAGCAGCCGCGGUAAUACGUAGGGUGCAAGCGUUAAUCGGAAUUACUGGGCGUAAAGCGUGCGCAGGCGGUUUUGUAAGACAGAGGUGAAAUCCCCGGGCUCAACCUGGGAACUGCCUUUGUGACUGCAAGGCUUGAGUGCGGCAGAGGGGGGUGGAAUUCCGCGUGUAGCAGUGAAAUGCGUAGAUAUGCGGAGGAACACCGAUGGCGAAGGCAAUCCCCUGGGCCUGCACUGACGCUCAUGCACGAAAGCGUGGGGAGCAAACAGGAUUAGAUAGCCCUGGUAGUCCACGCCCUAAACGAUGUCAACUGGUUGUUGGGAAGGUUCCUUCUCAGUAACGUAGCUAACGCNUGAAGUUGACCGCCUGGGGAGUACGGCCGCAAGGUUGAAACUAAAGGAAUUGACGGGGUCAUAGCUG